GCACAGUGGCUUAGUGGUUAGAACAUUUGCCUCACACCUACAGGGUUGGGGGGUCGAUUCCCGCUGCA
Non-coding RNA from Ameiurus melas (black bullhead), 68 nucleotides. Lineage: Eukaryota; Metazoa; Chordata; Actinopteri; Siluriformes; Ictaluridae. The record is from the annotation of a GenBank genome assembly.